UGCUGUUUCGCUGACGAGUGGCGGACGGGUGAGUAAUGUCUGGGAAACUGCCUGAUGGAGGGGGAUAACUACUGGAAACGGUAGCUAAUACCGCAUAACGUCGCAAGACCAAAGAGGGGGACCUUCGGGCCUCUUGCCAUCGGAUGUGCCCAGAUGGGAUUAGCUAGUAGGUGGGGUAACGGCUCACCUAGGCGACGAUCCCUAGCUGGUCUGAGAGGAUGACCAGCCACACUGGAACUGAGACACGGUCCAGACUCCUACGGGAGGCAGCAGUGGGGAAUAUUGCACAAUGGGCGCAAGCCUGAUGCAGCCAUGCCGCGUGUAUGAAGAAGGCCUUCGGGUUGUAAAGUACUUUCAGCGGGGAGGAAGGGAGUAAAGUUAAUACCUUUGCUCAUUGACGUUACCCGCAGAAGAAGCACCGGCUAACUCCGUGCCAGCAGCCGCGGUAAUACGUAGGUGGCAAGCGUUGUCCGGAUUUAUUGGGCGUAAAGCGAGCGCAGGCGGUUUCUUAAGUCUGAUGUGAAAGCCCCCGGCUCAACCGGGGAGGGUCAUUGGAAACUGGGAGACUUGAGUGCAGAAGAGGAGAGUGGAAUUCCAUGUGUAGCGGUGAAAUGCGUAGAUAUAUGGAGGAACACCAGUGGCGAAGGCGGCUCUCUGGUCUGUAACUGACGCUGAUGUGCGAAAGCGUGGGGAUCAAACA
RNAcentral lists this ribosomal RNA (700 nucleotides) under uncultured bacterium. RNAcentral's name for it is "bacterial SSU rRNA". It matches the Rfam family "Bacterial small subunit ribosomal RNA", at positions 78 to 774 of the family's 1533-position model. The record is from RNAcentral.